Molecule: long non-coding RNA, 509 nt
Filed under: Bos taurus (domestic cattle)
Lineage: Eukaryota; Metazoa; Chordata; Mammalia; Artiodactyla; Bovidae
Description: long non-coding RNA NONBTAT015180
Source: RNAcentral
UGAGUCUGUAAUUUAUUACAUGUUUGACAUAAUCGGCUUUCUCUAUAUUACUUUGUCUGAUACUGUGUACUAUGAAGGCAGUCUUGAGAUUUUCUACUGGAAGAAAAAUGAGAUCUGAACUGUCCUUAAUUGGGUGAAUUCUCAUUGUUGAAGAGACUUUCGAUUAGGAACAUUCUGUAAAGUAGUCAGCAUGUAAUAGAUCAUGGCAGUGUUAUUUGUUGCUAUGGUAAAGAGGGGGAAGUUUUGGUUUUCAAAGUUUUAUGGGUGACUUUUUUUCUCCUAGUUUUUUGAAAGGUUUCUGAUUCUAUACAUCAGCAUAUUGCUGAUAUACGAAGAAUAUUUCAAGAAAAAUCAUAUUGGUUAAUUAAAUCUAUAACUAACCAAACUUACAGAAACUCAGUAACAAGAACGAUUUUAUAGGUAUUCAACUUACAAUAAAAGUAUCAUUCAUAUAGUAUAUUAAAUGUGUUCCUAACAAUUGUUGGACAUGCUUACUGUUUUAAUAUCUA